This 1032-nucleotide ribosomal RNA is filed under the name Triticum aestivum (bread wheat). Its description in RNAcentral is "partial small subunit ribosomal RNA". Lineage: Eukaryota; Viridiplantae; Streptophyta; Magnoliopsida; Poales; Poaceae. The record is from RNAcentral.
AUGGAGGGGGAGGCGAGCAAGAGGCUGGCCACGCUGGUGGGCUGCAACUACGUGGGCACGCGCUACGAGCUCCGCGGCUGCAUCAACGACGUCGACGCCGUGCGGGCCGCCCUCGUCGCCCGCUUCGGCUUCGCGCCGGCCGACGUCGCCGUGCUCACCGACGGGGACGGGCGCGGCGCCGAGGUGCUCCCGACGGGGGCCAACAUCCGCCGCGCGCUCGCGGACAUGGUCGCCCGCGCCGCCCCCGGGGACGUGCUCUUCUUCCACUACAGCGGCCACGGCACGCUCGUCCCGCCGCGCCACGGCGACGGCGGCGCGGAGGAGGAGGCCAUCGUGCCCACCGACUUCAACCUCAUCACGGACGUGGACUUCCGGCAGCUGGUGGACCGGGUGCCGCCGGGCGCGAGCUUCACCAUUGUGUCCGACUCGUGCCACAGCGGCGGCCUCAUCGACCAGGAGAAGGAGCAGAUCGGGCCCUCCGUCGGCUCCGGCCCCGGCGCGCCGUCCGCGCGCACCGCCCGGUUCCUUCCCUACGGCGCGCUCCUGGACCACCUCUCCGCCGUCUCGGGCAUGCCUUCCUCCCACCACGUCGCCGACCACCUCGUGGCGCUCUUCGGCGCCGACGCCAGCGCCAAGUUCCACGUUCACGGCGGCGGCGGCAACGGCAGCGCCCUGUCCACCACGCCCGCACCGGCGCCAACGCCGCCGCGCCCGGACGAGGGCAUCCUGCUGAGCGGGUGCCAGACGAACGAGACCUCUGCGGACGUGCCGGCGUACGAGGCCAGCGGAGGCAAGGCAUGCGGGGCGUUCAGCAGCGCGGUGCAGAGCGUGCUGGCGGCGCACCAGGCGCCGCUGAGCAACCGGGAGCUCGUGGCGAAGGCCAGGGCGGUGCUGGAAGAGCAGGGGUUCGAGCAGCACCCGUGCCUCUACUGCACCGACGCCAACGCCGAGGCGCCGUUCCUUUCGCAGGACAAGAAGGAGGAGACAGCGGUGGGCGCGGCAAGCCCGGCCAUGUCGCCGGCGCUGCUGUAG